This 497-nucleotide ribosomal RNA is filed under the name uncultured bacterium. Its description in RNAcentral is "partial 16S ribosomal RNA". It matches the Rfam family "Bacterial small subunit ribosomal RNA", at positions 28 to 507 of the family's 1533-position model. The record is from RNAcentral.
GACGAACGCUGGCGGCGUGCCUAAUACAUGCAAGUUGAGCGGUGAAGCAUUGUACUUGUGCCAACUGGAUGAGCAGCGAACGGGUGAGUAACGCGUGGGGCAUCUGCUUUUGAUCGGGGGACAACAACGGAGAACGAAUGCUACUACCACAUAAAAACAUUAAACACAAGUAGCAAGUUUGAAAGAUGCAAUGGCAUCACUCAUGGGCGAUCGCGCGUUGUAUUAGGUAGUUGGUGAGGUAAAGGCUCACCAAGGCGAUGAUACAUAGCCGACCUGAGAGGGUGGUCGGCCACCAUUGGACUGAGACACGGCCCAAACUCCUACGGGAGGGAGCCAUAGGGAAUCUUCGGAAAUGGGGGAAAGUCUGACCGCACAACGCCGCGUGAGUUGAGAAGGGUUUCGGAUCGUAAAAGUCUGUUUGUAGAGAAGAACGUGCGUGAGGUUGGAAAGCUGAUCAAGUGACGGUAACUACAGAAAAAGGAACGGCUAACUACGUG